GCCAUCUGUUCCGCGAGCAAUGUGUCCUGCCCACUGCCACUUCAGUGUCGCAAUCCUUUGGGCUAUGUCGGUUACCAUGGUUUUCCUGCGAAUCUCCUCAUUUCUGAUUUGGUCUCGCAGGGAAACUCCGAGCAUAGCCCUCUCCAUUGCUCUUUGGGUGACCUUGAGCCUUCUCAUAAGGCCCAUUGUGAGCGACCACGUCUCAGUGCCAUAUGUCAUCACUGGCAACACACACUGGUCAAAGACUUUCGUCUUGAGACACUGUGGUAUUUGUGAUGAGAAUAUUUUACGUAGCUUUCCGAACGCUGCCCAUCCGAGCUGGAUUCGACGGUUGACCUCUUUUUCGAAGUUGAACUUACCUAGCUGGACAGUGUGUCCCAGGUAAAUAUACUCGUCAACAACUUCGAGCGUAGAGCCUCCGAUCUUUACUGGAGUGGGCGCUACAUGAGCAUUCAACAUAAUUUAUGUUUUUUCCUUGUUCAUAUUUAGACCCACUCGGAUAGAAGCCCUACUGAGGUCUUUGAGCAUUGUACUGAGGUCCUCCAUGGUCUCGGCCAUAAUCACAAUAUCAUCGGCGAACCGAAAGUGAGUUAUGUACUCGCCGUUUAUGUUGAUGCCUAGUCCUUUCCAAUCAAGUACUUUGAAAAGAUCUUCCAGCGCAGCGGUAAAUAGUUUCGGAGAAAUAACAUCUCCUUGCCUCACGCCCCGCUGCAGAAGGAUAGGUUCCGAAGCCCGGUCCUGUACUCGGACUGACAUAGUAGCGUUUUCAUACAAACACCUCAACACUUCGAUAUACCGAUAAUCAAUUUGGCACCGUUGGAGAGACUGUAAUACGGCCCAGGUUUCAAUCGAAUCAAAGGCUUUCUCGUAGUCCACAAAUGCUAAGCAAAGCGGCAGGUUAUAUUCCUCGGUCUUUUGUACAAUCUACCGCAACGUAUGAAUGUGGUCUACGGUACUAUAGCCUUUUCGGAAACCGGCUUGUUCGGGUGGCUGGAAGUCAUCAAACAUCGUCGAACACAUAAUGCGCAAAAUGCUAGAAGAGUGGGGUGAUAGCGUCACAGUUGGGGGCGUAAAGAUUUCGAACUCGCGACACGCUGAUGAUACCGCGUUAGUUAUGUCAUUAAAAGAGGAAACGGAAGAGCUGCUGCGACGUCUGGUCAUAGUUAUCGAAGAAACAGGGCUAAAAAUCAACCAGCUCAAAACAAAGAUCAUGAUCGUGAAUAAAGCUGGAACCAUCAACAAGAAUAAUUUUCUUAGCCUAUACGACUUUGUCAAGACUAUCGUCUACCUUAGCUCGAUUAUUUUGAAUGGGGGUGGAUUGGAAACCGAAAUAAGGGGACGCGACGGAAUGGUCAAAUCCGCUGUGAGCAAGAAGACGAAACUGCAAAUAGUUGAGACACUUGUUUUCCUAAUCUUUUUGUAUGGUGCUGAGACCUGGACCUUAAAAGAGUCUACAGACGACGCAUAGACGCGUUUGAAAGGUGGUUCCGGCGGUGCAUGUUGCGCAUUCUUUAGACGACUUUCCGUACGGACGCUUCCAUCUUCAACGAGCUAAAAGUUGACCAGAGGCUAUCCACCAUAUGCCUAUAUAGAGUGGUCCAGUAUUUUGGUUAUGUAUCAAGAAAACUCUCUGACGAAAAACUCAUAGUGACGGGUGGAGUGGACGGAAGAUAAUCCAGAGGCUAGAGCCAAAAAAGAUGGAGUGGUCCAGAUUCCGAGGACCUACCUGGGCACGAGACUGAGCGACGCAAUUCACUUUGCCACUGAUCGACAGCUACAAGUCACAAGAAAAGAUCUCAGACGGGCGCAUUACGAUGCUCAGCAAUGAGCGAUCAAUUGAAGGCUUUCAUUACAAAAAGUUCGGCCGGCUGAUGGCGACGGCUGGCUCGUUGAGCUGGCUUCUUCCAAACGUCGGGGGUCCCGAAAAAGUGGUGUGCUGCCUUUACAUGGGGGCAGUGCGGUCCAUCGCACUAUAUGGUACAGCGGUCUGGUGCCGCGCCAUGACGCGCGUAAAGGCCAUGCUGUAACGUCCGCAGCGCACGAUUCUGGUAGUUGGAGCGAUCUGUGGAUGCCGCACCGUCUCCUUCGAGGCAGCAUGCAUGCUCGCCGGGAGGCUCGCUGGGCCUGAGACCCGGGGGCGGAGGUGCUCGCCGGGGAUUACGCGUGGAAUAACGAACUCUGCUCCAGGGGGAACGGUGCCCCGACGACGGAGUGUUUCGAGUGCGGAGAUUCCAAUCUCGGCAGUCCGUGCUGGAGGCGUGGUCUCACCGUCUAGGUGGUUUGCUCGGUCCUCGCGGAUUGGAUGAGUUUCAACCCAGGACACUUCACCUUCCUACUGAUGCAGAUGCUUGGCAGUGACACGUCCUGAAAGGCGAUGCUCAACUUAUAUAAAUCCACCAUCUCGCAGAACGAGGUCACGGCGUUUCCUUGAGAGAAAAAGAACUCUUCCCUCUCCGCACUGAUCCGUCGCCGUCGAGCCAAGAGGCCGAAUGAGAACGUACGAACGCACGUCCCGGGCUCUGCAGGCGGCGAUGUCUCCCUCGGUGGAGUUCGCAGGGUGACCUGAGGGCAGAUCUAGGCCGCACGGCGCGGUCACGUCACAAUAGCGCGUCGCAACAGCAGGACAUAUAAUUGUUGAAUAGUGACCGACUGACGGUGUAUCGCGAUUCCAUUUCCGAGGUAUUCUGCAACACCAACGGCUCCGCCUGGGAUGACAGAGACCAGAGCAGCACGAAUGCCCUUCUCUUGCCGCCGGCUUAAGGCGACAUAUCAGUGCGGAGAGGAAAAGCUUUUCAUCUCUCGUUCCAUAGAAUUCUGCGAGAUUGUGAACUUGCAAAAAUUUAACAUCCCUUAUUGGGGUUAUUUGCUACUCAACAGCGUAAUCAAGACGGUCGGCAACGACAAGUUUGAUCCCAUAAGGGCAUGGUGCUGCCCCAGCCACGCAGGGCAAUGCAUGAGUGUGUGCUCGGCCAUCUUCUCGUCGCAGCUAUAGCGGUGGCACUCCAUUAUCGGUUCCUUCUCAGCGGAAUACUGAGGGGCCUGACCAAACAACGCGGGGCGCUCUACGCUUCAUGGGCUUGUUACAGCCCAUGGCUCCAUGCGCCGCUACCUGUAUAGUGGUGAAAGUGUUUCAACACUCGCGGCCUGGCACGACGGUCAGAAUCGUUGAAAGUUGAAGGCGACGUGAGGGAUAGCGCCGUGUCCUCCUCACACAAAUCAAUACAAUAAAUUACGUAACAGAAAUGCGGUUGACCAUCUGGCUCAUCUGUUUUUAAACGUAUUUGUAUGCUUCCACUUACCUUGAGACAUGAGGUCUAAGUCUCAACAAAAAUAAUAAUAGUAUAGCGCCUCUUCCAUCUCAGUCUUCGCGGCAGAGAAGGUCGGGAUAGCCUACCGAUCUACCUGCUCUGCCUCACAAGAUGCUAUUGCAAGUUAUAUUUUAAUACGCGGUGAUAUUCCUUCAUCGUGCGUAGUUCACUAGACAAUUAGCAUACGUCCGCGGGAUCUGACCACCGGCGACAUAUUUUGUGAAGUCGUCGACGUAAUAGAAUAAUAAACUUUAUGGUUAGUUGAACUUAGUUAUACUUAAUUCUACUAUUCUAAUUAGUUGUACUUAUUUUACAAUUUCCAACUUUGCGUUUUAUAUUCAGCUUCAGAGUUUUCCUGACCACCGACCGAGGUGCAGUUCGCCACUAUUUGAAUAUUGCACUAAUUACGAGUAUGUAGCAACUAAUCAUUUACAAAAACAAUUUCAUUAUCAAGUUUCUUUAUAUACUCGUACACAGAGAGAGCCCGUAGUAUCAUGAGGCCAGGCAUUUGGUUUCACUUCGGUUUUAAAAAUCAAGCAGGACCAUGUAUAACAGAAAAAGUUAGUUGGGAUUUUCUGCCUGUGUAUCCUAUAUAUGCAUAAUAUAUGUUGAGUAUUUCCACUUUCGGGUAGCGACAUGGUAAGCGGGCGGUCUUCGUAAGGCAAUAAAACCAGAAAUGUUAACUCAGAACGUAUAUUACGCAGGAGCGUUCCGUCUGAUACGGCGACUCGCUCGCUUCUGAGCUCGAGCGACAACAACGGAGCGUUUUUAUAACAAGGUAUCGUGGUGGGACGAUGUUGUUUACGAUUCUUAUCUUGCACGUGUUGUUUGUCGUCCCAUCUAGUUAAGUCGGGCACCUCUGCUGACGCAUGUCUGCAAAGGCAGAUCUUCGACGAACUCAACUGCUGAAUUGUGGAAUUCGCAGACGACGGUAUCCGCUGGACCGGUGGUCCGAUGCCCUUCCCGUUAGAUUAAGAUUAGUAAUAAGUUAGUCUUAAGUCAGAUUUGGUACGGAAUAAACGUUCAUAAAAUAUAAUUUCUAUUUUUUAAAACGUACUCCGCGUGGCCUGCAACUUGACUGGCGCAGCCGGUAGGAUUUCCGCGAUCGCGAACUCAAUCUGGAAGUAAUCGCGACGUACGUUUUUACGCGUUUAACGGAAAUUCGAACAAAAUAAAUUCGUCAAGACAUCACGACCACAACAGCUCCGGAAGUCACCACCAUCUGCUUGAGAUUCACCCCGAGGAUAUGGACAGUCUGUGAGUAGACCCUAAUCGCUAUUUUCAUUCCAUUCCAUUCCUUAGUAUAAUAGUUAUACGUUUUUCUAGAAGACAGAGCGCUAUUUCCAAAAUUCGAAAAGUGUUUUCAGUUUUCUUUUAGCUAGGAAUUAAGUGUAAAAUUAAUAAAAUUACAUAUAAUACAUAAAAUUAAAGAAUAUUGAAAUUUACUUUUAGUUAUAAGAAUUACAAAAUUUUAUACGACAUACUUAUUAAAAUCAUUUCAAUUUUAUUUAAACAAAGUAAUUAAUAAAAUAAAUUAACAUGUUCAACAUAUCUCAGAUACCACGUGAAAUUGCUAACGUCAUCCCCAAAUUCGACGUCAUCCCCAAAUUCGGUGACGAAAAGUUAUUAAAUUUAUUUAUUAGAAAAUGCGAAUAUGUAAUUCGAUUGUGUCGUGUAGAUGAUAGUAGAGAACAGGACUUAUAUAUAUUUCAUGUUGUGACAUCCCGAUUGUGUGGGAAAGCCGCAGCUCUUAUUAGCGAAAGACAAGAUUUAGAUACAUGGGACUCAUUAAAAACAGCCCUAGAACAACAUUUCGGAGAUCCACGUUCGGAAGAAUGUAUUGCAAUAGAAUUAGAAACUUAAAAAAUUAAUAACGGAGAAUCGUAUCUAGAUUUCUGUAAUAGAAUACAGCAUAUUAAAAGUACUUUGAUUGCAAAAGUAAAUUUAAUACAGGAUGAUAACCUUCGUAAAAGUAAAAUUAUAAUAUAUGACAACAUGUCUAUGAAUUUGUUCUUAUAUAAUCUACCGGAGGACCUUCUUCGUAUAGUUAGAUUAAAAGGAUGUGAUUCGUUAGAAAAAGCACUAAGUAUAGUAUUAGAAGAAGUUAAUUUUAUGUUCCAAUAUAGUUCACGCAAUAAAAUGUUAAAACAACAAAAUACCCAGUGUACGGCUCCUAGACCUCAACCGUUCAACAAUUUUCAGUUUGCAGAUAAAAAUGUAAUAAAACCUCAUUUCAUUAGUAACACACAGCCUCAGUAUAAAUUCGGUAUUCCACAAAAUGUCGCAACCAUGUCAAAUCAACUUCAACAGCAAAAUAAAUUUAAAUUUGGAAUUCCCGCUAGCAAACAAAUAAAAUUACCACAAACGCAACAAUUCGGAUAUCGACCUCAAAAUCAAACUCAUUUUGGAUAUCGACCACCUUUGAACCAAAAUCAAUUUGGUUACAAGCCAAACUUAAAUCAACCUCAAUUCGGUUACCGACCCCAGUUAAAUCAAAAUAACCCCCAAUUCGGUUAUAAGCCCCAACAAUUUGGAUAUCAUCCCCCACAGGUGUUACAACCUAGGAACGAACCGACUGAUGUUAGUAUGCGUACCGCUAAGCCACUAGGAAUACGCAUGAACGAAUUAUACAACUUAAACGAUGACGAUAAUAAUUAUAACAAUUCUGAAAUUCAGAACCCUUCAUACGAUGAUUAUAGUAAUACAGAAGUAAUGGAAGAGUUUGAAACAUUAGAAACUGAUCAAACCAAAGAAUACGACCCCGUAGUAGAAAAUUUUCACAUAAUUACCAACAACCAACCCCCGCGAUAAUAAACUUAAAUUGUAUAUGACGUAGACGGACGUUACUACGGACUAAUAGGAAGUGAUCUACUAAAACAGCUAGAUACAAAAAUUGAUAUGAAAAACUUACUACUACAUACAAAUACCACUAAAAUACCUAUAAUAUAUAAUCCCGGUUGUUCAAUUAAAAUAGCCCCACGUUGUGAACAAAGAGUUAGGUUACCUACAAACCUACGGAACGGACAAGCAAUAAUGAAUUAUAAAAUCUUUUGUGACGGAGUUGGAAUGCCUAGUGCAAUAGUAAGAUGCGAAAACGGUUUCGCGACGACGGUCAUACAAAACAUUAAAGACCGCGAAGUAACUUUAAAUUUCCUUACACCAGUAACCGUAACUGAAUACAAUAGUGACACAUGUGAAAUUAACAAUAUAACUGACAUUGACAUGACAAACAUAGACGUCGAUAGUAUAUUAACCGAAAAUUUAAAUAAUAAAUUACGAUUAGAUCACAUGAAUGAAGAGGAGAAAACAUACAUUCGUAAACUCUGCUCCGAAUAUAAAAAUAUAUUUUAUUCUGAAAAACCACCCUUGACUUUUACCAACGAUGUUAAACACCACAUUCGCACUCGUAACGAAGAUCCUGUUUUUAAACGACCAUAUAGACAGCCCCAAGUGAUUAACGACGAAAUAUGUAGACAAGUUGAGAAAAUGUUAGAAAAUAAUAUAGUAACUCAUUCUCACUCACCCUGGAGUGCACCCGUGCACCUAGUACCAAAAAAAAGUGGAAAACUGAAUAAUAACGCAGACGCCUUAUCGCGUAUUAAAUUAAAUGCCUUAGACAAAGAUAAUAGCUCAUUGAAAGUAAACGUUGACAAAGAUAGAAAUAGAAAUAAACAGGUAAAAGAAAUUAUUAAAGAAAUAGAAAAUUUGCGUAGAGAACCCGAGGAAAAUUUAGAAACUAUGUCUAUUUCCGACACAGACUCUGAGAGAACUUUAACAGCCCAUUGUCGCUCACCUUACUCAAUACCAUACUGUAGUUCCACCCUGACCGCAUCCGAAGGUUCACCUAGUAACACAGAAACUGCUCAUUCCGCACAAGAUACAGAAUCGAAAGGUAUUCCUAUCUUACAAGAAGCCAUAGAUACAAAAUCAAAUCAAAUUUUAGUCUAUACAUGGCUUAUCGACAAACUCUCAGUUAAAAAUUUGUCUAGAGAAAAACAAAGAAUUUUAGAAGUCCACUUACCAGUUAAUCGACCUGACCUCGUUAAACAGUUUCUUAAGGAAUAUAUAAAGAACAAUACUAAAUACUUAAUUUAUUUCGAAGAUGACCAACAUAAGAGACAAUUUACAAAAACAAUAAUAUUUUUAUUCAAAAAGGAAAUGGUACAAUUUUUCGAAUGUACUAAAAGAGUAGUUUUUAUUGAAAAUGAAUUAGGACCAAAAGAAAUCGUUGAAAAAUAUCAUACAGGUAAAACAUGUCACCGAGGUAUAAGAGAAACACUUACACACAUUAAACGCACAUACUUUUGGCAUAAAAUGGAACAAACCGUUUCAAGCGUCAUAAACUCUUGCGAAGUAUGUAAACGUAUGAAAUAUGACAGGAAACCCCUCAGACCUACACUACAAUUAACACAGACACAGACUAAACCUUUAGAAGAACUUUUUAUCGACUUAUUUACUAUCGAAGGACAUUACUAUUACUUCAGCAAACUGGGACAAGCACUAGAAAUUACAAACCGAUCUACUCCUGAAGUAGUACGAGCCCCAAUAAAAUACUUUUCAUUUUAUGGGAUACCCCAAAAAAUCAGCUCGGACCCUGAUACAAAAUUUAAUAAUGCACUUCUAAAAGAACUCUUAGCAUUUUACAAAAUAGAUUUACACAUCAGUACACCUAACAACCCGAACUCCAUGGGACUCAUAGAAAGGUUCCAUUCCACAAUACUAGAAAUAUAUAGAUUGGCUAAAUACGAACAAAAAUACACGGAUGCAGCAUCCAUAAUGACCUAUGCUAUUAUGGCCUAUAAUCAGGCUAUUCACUCCAGUACUGGCUACACCCCAUUCGAGAUAUUCCUAGGACACACAGACUCUAGAAAUACUUUUGAUGCCGACUUUAAUAACAACAAUUAAUAAAACAAUUAAUAAAAAAACAAUAUAUACAACAAUUAAUAAAAGAACACGCAAAAAGAACUAAAUUUUUAUACAAACAUAUUUCGGAACAAACAAUAAAACUGAAGGAAAAACGAAAUGAUAAAAGAGCAGGAGAAACAGAAUUUAAUAUUAAAUCAGGAGACACCAUAUUUUCCAAAAACACAAAUAAAAGAAUUAGCAAAGAUAAGCCGCGCUACCAAAAAGCUAUAGUUACAGAUGACAUAGUCAGAAACACAGUUCCCGUUCAAAUAAAAGAACGCAGUACAAAAGUUCCAUUAAAAAACAUUAAACGCCCUUCACAGGCACCUCCGCGUCCUCCUGAUGACGAUCAUGACGCAAGUCCACGACCUUCAACUUCAGGUAUUAAAUAACAAUCCCGGAGUUUUACCCGUGAGGGAAGGCACUGCUGUUUUGAGCAAAGACAAGUGGAUAAUAGCAAGAGUAUUGGACUUUAAACCUAUUAGGGAAGACUUAGAUCUUAACAUUCAAUGUUUCAGCUUGCAUCGACAACAUUCUGGACAUACCAUCAUACUUUUGUCCAGGCGGAGCUUCUUACGGCUUCGAAAAAAGCUGGAACUCAGAAAAAAAAUGUCACAUUAUUCAGUCCUAUGGGAUAUCACCAGCCGGGGG
RNA transcript from Bombyx mori (domestic silkworm), 8864 nucleotides. It is a transcript of the gene named serine protease persephone, with no coding region annotated. NCBI's taxonomy places the organism in Eukaryota, Metazoa, Arthropoda, Insecta, Lepidoptera, Bombycidae. The record is from RefSeq and is a predicted model, not a curated record. The transcript has 2 exons.